AAAUUAUUAUCACAUGCUACCUGACGAAAAGGAUAAAGAAAAUAACUCUUACAUAUGGAGGAAUCUUGAAAGGAAGAUAAUCAAUAGCCAAGUGAGCCGAAUGGAGAAUAUAAAGCAGCAAAUCAACUACAAAAACUAGUAGGCAAAAAGACUUGAAAACACAUAUCAAAAGACAAAAUUUGAUACAGUAAGAUGAAAU
RNAcentral lists this long non-coding RNA (199 nucleotides) under Jatropha curcas. RNAcentral's name for it is "long non-coding RNA (JCUR_LNC003445)". The record is from RNAcentral. Lineage: Eukaryota; Viridiplantae; Streptophyta; Magnoliopsida; Malpighiales; Euphorbiaceae.